RNAcentral lists this unclassified non-coding RNA (317 nucleotides) under Hevea brasiliensis (rubber tree). The record is from RNAcentral. Lineage: Eukaryota; Viridiplantae; Streptophyta; Magnoliopsida; Malpighiales; Euphorbiaceae.
GAGCACGCACGCUGCAUCCACUGCGGCACGCCCCGCCCGGGAUGAGGAUCUGGCUGAACAAAUGGGAAAGGAUAUAUAUUUUGACCUUGUGGACCAUGACAAAGUCCGCAGCUUUCGGAUUCAAAAACAACUCCCGUUUAAUCUUUUCAAGGAGGAGGUUGCCAAAGAGUUUGGUGUCCCUGUGCAGUUUCAGCGCUUUUGGCUAUGGGCUAAACGGCAAAAUCAUACAUAUCGUCCCAAUAGACCAUUGACACCUCAAGAGGAAGCACAAUCUGUUGGGCAGCUAAGGGAUGUGUCUAAUAAGGCGAACAAUGCGG